RNAcentral lists this transfer RNA (30 nucleotides) under Streptocarpus grandis. RNAcentral describes it as "partial tRNA-Asp". The record is from RNAcentral. Lineage: Eukaryota; Viridiplantae; Streptophyta; Magnoliopsida; Lamiales; Gesneriaceae. RNAcentral also lists the same sequence under 2 other names.
CGGGACUGGCGGGGCUCGAACCUCGCAGCU